GGGGUCGCCGCCCACGCGCGCUUGGUUCAGGGAGCCCAGGCUGUCCCUACCCGCGGCUACAAAAGCUCGCCGAGUCUUCCUGUCCACCCAAUCGCCCCACAUGUCAGCGGUUGGUCGCCUCGCGGUGCAGUGCUGGGCACGCGAGCCCCUCCCGCAGUCAUUCUCAGCACAAGCACCAGCCUGGAGCCCCGCAGCGACAGAGCUGAGAGCCCCCAAGCCGCAGAGGUCGUGCGGAGCAGAUUUGAUUAAGUGAAACAAAGCCCCAGCUGCUGGAGCAGAGGUUCCACUUGGGUUCCACAGACACCCACAGCCCAAAUCCCUGGAGGCCUAAGGCAAUAGCUAAUUGAGACUAUGCAUCACUAUUAAGGCAUCUUCACUAAAGGGCGCUGUGGAAACGCUGCCUGAGAUGCAGACACCUGUCAGAAGGGGGCUAAAUUUCAAACAAGGAACGUGGUGUUGCAUCACAAUAAAAAGAGGAGACCAAUGGGGAGCAUUGGAAUGAUUUGGUUGCAAGCAUACUACACUACUUGUAAACUGCAGACACAGGCUUAAAAAAAGUGAAAAACUAACCAUGCAAUAAAGAAUGGAAUGAACCAUGAAGCUGUUUCUGUGGCCAGUCAUGUUUUUGAAGCAUAUCCCAUGCUAAUUUCUAGAACAGAAGAAACACACGUGUUCUUGUGUGUAAACCCAGUCCAUGGAAGAGACCGUCUGCUUGUCCCUCCUGAUCUCUGGGCCCAGACAACCAGUAGUCACCAUUCCAAGUGAGGGGUGGCUGCAACUCUACAGCCCCGUUCGUCUCUCCUCACUGUCAAAGCUGCUGAGACCCCAGACUCGACACUUGAAAGAAACCCAUGUCUGUGAAGCACUUGUGGACCAUUCAAGAUUGUGGAAGAAUCACUCAAGAGAAGGAGAUAGGUGAUGGGAUCUAGCUUCUGAUGGUUUCUAUUUUAUUGAAUGUCUAAUAGGGCAAGAAUUUGAAAAACGAGAAUGUUUGCCAUGCAGGAGGACCUGGGAAGGAGAUAACACAUUUACAGGGAGAAAGAUUGGGAUUCAGUUGGGAGGAGUAACUGAGGAAAGGGGUCACUCAAAAUAUUUUGUAUUUUAGGUCCUUUUUCUAUUAAGGAGGAAUGGAUUAUCAAAGCCUUAACAUUAAAUUGUAUUGUGUCAGGUGAAUUGCUAUGGUUUGAAUGUGGUGUGUCCCCCUCCCAAACUCACAUUGAAUUUUUUUUUUUUUUUUUGAGACGGAGUCUCGCUCUGUUGCCCAGGCUGGAGUGCAGUGGUGCGAUCUUGGCUCACUACAAGCUCUGCCUCCCGGGUUCAAGAGAUUCUCCUGCCUCAGCCUCCCGAGUAGCUGGGAUUACAGAUGUUCGUCACCACACCUGGCUAAUUUUUGUAUUUUUAAUAGAGAUGGGGUUUCACUAUGUUGGCUAGGCUGGUCUCAAACUCCCGACAUCAGGUGAUCCACCCACCUCGGCCUCCCAAAGUGCUGGGAUUAGAGGAGUGAGCCACUGCACCCAGCCUCACGUUGAGGUUUAAUUGCCAUUGUAACAGUAUAAAGAUGUGGGACCUUUACGAGGUGAUUAGGCAAUGAGGACUCUGCCCUCAUGAAUGGAUUAAUGCUGUUAUCAUGGGAGUGGAUUCCUUAUAAAGGGACACGUUCAGCACCCCCUUGCUCUCUCUCUCACCUUCCGCCAUAUGAUGAUGGGGCACAAAGGCCAUCAUCAGAUGUUGGCCCCUUGUUCUCGAACUUCCCAACCUCCAGAGCAGUAAAAAAAUAAAUCACUGUUCUUUACAAAUGGCCCAGUCUCAGAUAUUC
RNAcentral lists this long non-coding RNA (1816 nucleotides) under Homo sapiens (human). RNAcentral describes it as "HSALNT0315763". Lineage: Eukaryota; Metazoa; Chordata; Mammalia; Primates; Hominidae. The record is from RNAcentral.